RNAcentral lists this long non-coding RNA (1262 nucleotides) under Monodelphis domestica (gray short-tailed opossum). Its description in RNAcentral is "lncRNA (ENSMODG00000041955.1)". Lineage: Eukaryota; Metazoa; Chordata; Mammalia; Didelphimorphia; Didelphidae. The record is from RNAcentral.
GCCAUCAUGGAUUAAGCCAUGUGAAAUACGAAGGGGACAGGAUACCAAUCUCCAAAGGCCCUUCGCCCCUUAUUCAAUGAAUACCUUGAAUAGCUGGUCGCGUGUCAGCAACAACUUCUGUAGGACAACGGGACAAAAGUGUUUUCUAACGAGCACCUCCGUUUCUAAUAACAUGGGGAUAGGAACUCACAGAAACAUCAUAAAGGUUCAGCAGUGUGACUCGGAUGUGAUCUACAUUUGAAGUUUUUUGGACACACAACGCUCAGAAGGUGAAUACGUUAGUUUGUGUAAAACCAUCGUCGGAGGGUUUGUAGUGACAUUAACAGCCUUUUCUUCUUCGGGAGUUUAUUGUGUGCUGUACGGGCUUCAGUGAUGGCCAUUUCCUUGUAAAGGAAUGCCAAGGAUUCUUCCUCGUGCUGCUAAUUUAGACGGUGGGCCAGGUAGAAGACGACUCACUCCCUGGAAAAAAGGCUGAAGUUCUACAAACUGUGCACAUCCUGAUUGGAACAGAGACCUGUUGUCCUGGUUUUGGACCCUUUGGCUUGCCCUCAGCCGACAGCUGUUGCUUGUUCCCUGGAUUAUUCCAUCCUGGUAUGGAUGCCACAUUCGGCCUCUGACUCCGUCUGCUCCCCAUGCCAAUGCUUGCCCACUGGCUGGCUCCUUCUCCAGCUGGCACCUUCUUACCCUGACCCGUCCUUCUCCCUGACUGCAAGGCUUCAGCUGGAGGCUAGGAAGAUCCUGAGCUCUUGUCCAUCUUAGUUUUCCUCGCUCAGCCUCAGGAUGUGGCUGGGAGGUCCAUUUGACAUUAUUGCAGUGAUGGUCACUGGUAGUUUGAGCUAUCACUUAGCAACUUGAAUGUUCAACUUAUUUCAUUUUCUAUCUUGAUGGUGACCUCAUAAGAAAAUAUCAACCCUGCUAGAUUGAUUUCUCUUAUGGAACGUCAGCCUUGGGCCAAUAUCAAGAGAGAAGGCUGGAGGCUCUCCUGAAGCCUCGGUGUCUUACCUCUAACCUCUCUGACAAGACUGAGGCAACCUGAUAAGGAGCUUCCUGACUCCCCUGGUCUACAUUUCAGAACUCCGAAUCACUCCUGUUUUCUUCUCCAUCCCUUAGAGUAAGAGCUAGCCUUUCUCUUACUACCGCUAAUCCCUGAACCUCCUGCUUUGCUCCUCUGGCAUCUUUUCUUUCUUCCUUUUCAUUUUCUCCAGGCAGACAGACAUGCCUCCCCAAUUAAAAAAUAAAAAGCCUUUUCUAACCUUACCCCA